Long non-coding RNA from Bradysia coprophila, 167 nucleotides. Lineage: Eukaryota; Metazoa; Arthropoda; Insecta; Diptera; Sciaridae. The record is from RefSeq and is a predicted model, not a curated record.
UAAGUUUUGAUUCUUUGUGAGUUUUGUUUGCUUCUUUCGUUUUAUUUGUCCCACACAUAUUCCACCACAUAAAAGUAGCGCUUGUCUUUACGUUUCUUCAAUUCCACACGGACGUAUGAGUGAAACGACUCUCUUUAUUCUUCUUUUGUUGACAACAUGUGGAACGA